AUCUGGAUUUUUAGAUUUCAAAAAUCUGAAUCCAUUAAUCCAUCAGUCCAUUAAUAAUUAACUUGACCAGAUCACAUUGAGUUGGUUUGAUUUGGUUUGAGGUUGUUUUAUGAUUUAGCCCUUGAUGAAGAAUUUAUUAUAUAAUAAUCUUUUUCCAAUUGUUUUGCAAGUAGAGAGGGAGGUGAUGAAGCCGCGGAGAA
RNAcentral lists this long non-coding RNA (200 nucleotides) under Elaeis guineensis (African oil palm). Its description in RNAcentral is "long non-coding RNA (EGUI_LNC003940)". The record is from RNAcentral. Lineage: Eukaryota; Viridiplantae; Streptophyta; Magnoliopsida; Arecales; Arecaceae.